CUACCCUUGACAUGUCUGGAAUCCUGAAGAGAUUUGGGAGUGCUCGAAAGAGAGCCAGAACACAGGUGCUGCAUGGCCGUCGUCAGCUCGUGUCGUGAGAUGUUGGGUUAAGUCCCGCAACGAGCGCAACCCUUGUCAUUAGUUGCUACGAAAGGGCACUCUAAUGAGACUGCCGGUGACAAACCGGAGGAAGGUGGGGAUGACAUCAGGUCAUCAUGGCCCUUAUGGGUAGGGCUACACACGUCAUACAAUGGCCGGUACAGAGGGCUGCCAACCCGCGAGGGGGAGCCAAUCCCAGAAAACCGGUCGUAGUCCGGAUCGUAGUCUGCAACUCGACUGCGUGAAGUCGGAAUCGCUAGUAAUCGCGGAUCAGCUUGCCGCGGUGAAUACGUUCCC
RNAcentral lists this ribosomal RNA (396 nucleotides) under uncultured bacterium. RNAcentral's name for it is "bacterial SSU rRNA". It matches the Rfam family "Bacterial small subunit ribosomal RNA", at positions 975 to 1375 of the family's 1533-position model. The record is from RNAcentral.